Molecule: long non-coding RNA, 319 nt
Filed under: Panax ginseng (ginseng)
Lineage: Eukaryota; Viridiplantae; Streptophyta; Magnoliopsida; Apiales; Araliaceae
Description: long non-coding RNA (PGIN_LNC015993)
Source: RNAcentral
GAGUGGCCCAGCGGUAAUCCUACUGUGCAGACCUUAAAGAUUCGACCGAAACAACACAACAACUCAGACUGUGGCAUUUUUGUAUGCAAGUAUGCUGACUAUUUCGUUAGGGCCAGUGGUAAUAUUUCUGAAGAGAAGUGGUCCUUGGAAGAUGUCACAGUCUUUCGUUACCGCGUCGCAUGGGAGCUCUACAAGAAAUCUGCAAGAUUACUUCCAGCCUCUGAGAUAUUGAACUUAUCCAACGUUAUCUAAUGUAUAUAUUAAUUAAUAAGAAUGUCUAUUUGGUUGAACUUUAUGGGAUUUUCAAAUUCAUAACUUA